AUGCUGGAGGUAUCAGAAGUGCGAAUGCUGACAUAAGUAACGAUAAAGCGGGUGAAAAGCCCGCUCGCCGGAAGACCAAGGGUUCCUGUCCAACGUUAAUCGGGGCAGGGUGAGUCGACCCCUAAGGCGAGGCCGAAAGGCGUAGUCGAUGGGAAACAGGUUAAUAUUCCUGUACUUGGUGUUACUGCGAAGGGGGGACGGAGAAGGCUAUGUUGGCCGGGCGACGGUUGUCCCGGUUUAAGCGUGUAGGCUGGUUUUCCAGGCAAAUCCGGAAAAUCAAGGCUGAGGCGUGAUGACGAGGCACUACGGUGCUGAAGCAACAAAUGCCCUGCUUCCAGGAAAAGCCUCUAAGCAUCAGGUAACAUCAAAUCGUACCCCAAACCGACACAGGUGGUCAGGUAGAGAAUACCAAGGCGCUUGAGAGAACUCGGGUGAAGGAACUAGGCAAAAUGGUGCCGUAACUUCGGGAGAAGGCACGCUGAUAUGUAGGUGAAGUCCCUCGCGGAUGGAGCUGAAAUCAGUCGAAGAUACCAGCUGGCUGCAACUGUUUAUUAAAAACACAGCACUGUGCAAACACGAAAGUGGACGUAUACGGUGUGACGCCUGCCCGGUGCCGGAAGGUUAAUUGAUGGGGUUAGCGCAAGCGAAGCUCUUGAUCGAAGCCCCGGUAAACGGCGGCCGUAACUAUAACGGUCCUAAGGUAGCGAAAUUCCUUGUCGGGUAAGUUCCGACCUGCACGAAUGGCGUAAUGAUGGCCAGGCUGUCUCCACCCGAGACUCAGUGAAAUUGAACUCGCUGUGAAGAUGCAGUGUACCCGCGGCAAGACGGAAAGACCCCGUGAACCUUUACUAUAGCUUGACACUGAACAUUGAGCCUUGAUGUGUAGGAUAGGUGGGAGGCUUUGAAGUGUGGACGCCAGUCUGCAUGGAGCCGACCUUGAAAUACCACCCUUUAAUGUUUGAUGUUCUAACGUUGACCCGUAAUCCGGGUUGCGGACAGUGUCUGGUGGGUAGUUUGACUGGGGCGGUCUCCUCCUAAAGAGUAACGGAGGAGCACGAAGGUUGGCUAAUCCUGGUCGGACAUCAGGAGGUUAGUGCAAUGGCAUAAGCCAGCUUGACUGCGAGCGUGACGGCGCGAGCAGGUGCGAAAGCAGGUCAUAGUGAUCCGGUGGUUCUGAAUGGAAGGGCCAUCGCUCAACGGAUAAAAGGUACUCCGGGGAUAACAGGCUGAUACCGCCCAAGAGUUCAUAUCGACGGCGGUGUUUGGCACCUCGAUGUCGGCUCAUCACAUCCUGGGGCUGAAGUAGGUCCCAAGGGUAUGGCUGUUCGCCAUUUAAAGUGGUACGCGAGCUGGGUUUAGAACGUCGUGAGACAGUUCGGUCCCUAUCUGCCGUGGGCGCUGGAGAACUGAGGGGGGCUGCUCCUAGUACGAGAGGACCGGAGUGGACGCAUCACUGGUGUUCGGGUUGUCAUGCCAAUGGCACUGCCCGGUAGCUAAAUGCGGAAGAGAUAAGUGCUGAAAGCAUCUAAGCACGAAACUUGCCCCGAGAUGAGUUCUCCCUGAC
This 1564-nucleotide ribosomal RNA is filed under the name Escherichia coli. Its description in RNAcentral is "bacterial LSU rRNA". It matches the Rfam family "Bacterial large subunit ribosomal RNA", at positions 1270 to 2819 of the family's 2925-position model. The record is from RNAcentral. Lineage: Bacteria; Pseudomonadati; Pseudomonadota; Gammaproteobacteria; Enterobacterales; Enterobacteriaceae.